Molecule: microRNA precursor, 87 nt
Filed under: Mandrillus leucophaeus (drill)
Lineage: Eukaryota; Metazoa; Chordata; Mammalia; Primates; Cercopithecidae
Description: miRNA (ENSMLEG00000001716.1)
Source: RNAcentral
UAUUAGGUUGGUGCAAAAGUAAUUGUGGCUUUUGCCAUUACUUUUAAAUAAAUGGCAAAAACCGCAGUUAUUUUGCGCCAACGUAAU